This 410-nucleotide ribosomal RNA is filed under the name uncultured bacterium. Its description in RNAcentral is "bacterial SSU rRNA". It matches the Rfam family "Bacterial small subunit ribosomal RNA", at positions 354 to 776 of the family's 1533-position model. The record is from RNAcentral.
GUGGGGAAUAUUGCACAAUGGGCGCAAGCCUGAUGCAGCGACGCCGCGUGAGGGAUGACGGCCUUCGGGUUGUAAACCUCUUUCAGCAGGGAAGAAGCGAAAGUGACGGUACCUGCAGAAGAAGCGCCGGCUAACUACGUGCCAGCAGCCGCGGUAAUACGUAGGGCGCGAGCGUUGUCCGGAAUUAUUGGGCGUAAAGAGCUUGUAGGCGGUUUGUUGCGUCUGCUGUGAAAGACCGGGGCUUAACCCCGGUAUUGCAGUGGGUACGGGCAGACUAGAGUGCAGUAGGGGAGACUGGAAUUCCUGGUGUAGCGGUGAAAUGCGCAGAUAUCAGGAGGAACACCGAUGGCGAAGGCAGGUCUCUGGGCUGUAACUGACGCUGAGAAGCGAAAGCAUGGGGAGCGAACAGG